Molecule: long non-coding RNA, 4280 nt
Filed under: Salmo salar (Atlantic salmon)
Lineage: Eukaryota; Metazoa; Chordata; Actinopteri; Salmoniformes; Salmonidae
Description: lncRNA (ENSSSAG00000097821.1)
Source: RNAcentral
UCUCGUCCCCCUUCCUCUCCUCCACCGCUGAUGCUUGCUGCCUCCCUCUCCUCCCUCUUCCUCACCUCUCGUCCCCCUUCCUCUCCUCCACCGCUGAUGCUUGCUGCCUCCCUCUCCUCCCUCUUCCUCACCUCUCGUCCCCCUUCCUCUCCUCCACCGCUGACGCUUGCUGCCUUCCUCUCCUCCCUCUUCCUCACCUCUCGUCCCCCUUCCUCUCCUCCACCGCUGACGCUUGCUGCCUCCCUCUUCCUCACCUCUCGUCCCCCUUCCUCUCCUCCACCGCUGACGCUUGCUGCCUCCCUCUUCCUCACCUCUCGUCCCCCUUCCUCUCCUCCACCGCUGACGCUUGCUGCCUCCCUCUCCUCCCUCUACCUCACCUCUCGUCCCCCUUCCUCUCCUCCACCGCUGACGCUUGCUGCCUCCCUCUUCCUCACCUCUCAUCCCCCUUCCUCACCUCUCGUCCCCCUUCCUCUCCUCCACCGCUGACGCUUGCUGCCUGUCCAUCUUGGUUUAAUGUCCCCCUCAAUGUGUAUAUUCACCAUCAUUGUUUAUUUUAACAUUCUAAGACUUGUAAUAAAAAAAUAAGAAGAAAUGUACCUUUUUUUUGUGAUAAUUGAUAGUCAGGUUGGGGGGGUACAACUCUUUUGGUUGUGAGGGUGAAUUUGUAAGUUUUUUAACAUUUUCCGUGUUGAAUGCUCCGUGUUUUAUGUAUGGUUCACAGGACCAUUGCUAGGGUACUAUAGGGGAGAAGACCACUUUUUUAAGUUAAAGUUCCAGGGUGCUUUGGGACCUGAAAAGUUGUCUUUAUAAUAUCCCAAUUUAUAUCUAUUUAUGUACAUCGGAGCAUUAGUUUGGGCAUAAAAUAUUAGUUUGAUUUGAUGAGUGUGUGUACAAUGAUCUCAGUAGUAAUCUGGUCUAUAUUGCUCUGAGAAACAGACCAGUAUGUUUAACACACUUGUUCUGAUGAGAAUGUUUUUUUAAAGUAUUUUUAAACGCUGAGUUUUAAGUUUUUAAUCAUUUUUAAAGUGAUUGCACUUUCAUCACCCUGUUUUUAUUCCACUUUUUAAAUAGUUUAUAGUGUCACCUUAUCUGUUCAAUCAGUGGUUCUCAAUCCUGGUCCUGGGGUCCCGAAGGGGGACACAUUUUAGUUUUUGCUGAUUUUAAAAUGAUCAACUGAUCAUCAAGCUUGGAUGAUUUGAAUCAGGUGUGUAGUGCUAGAGCAAAAACAGAAAUGUGUCCCCCUUUGGGUCCCCAGGACCAGGAUUGAGAACCACUGUAUUAGCUAGCUAGGUGACUCUACUAUGUUCUAGAACACAGCCAGAGAAUUCUACUGUAGAACACUAGAAGUUCUAGAACACGGCCAGUGGUUCUAUGUAAAACGUGCUGAAGAGUUCCAUUGACUUUGUGUGCAUGUAGCAAAUAAGAUCUAAAUGAAACAUAAAGACCAAGCCAGAAGGUUGCUCUUGGCUCGCUAACACUGUUAGCCAAUUUCCUACCCGGGAGACUCAGCCUGGGGGCUUAUUCAGUUUCGCAUAGAGGGCUAGCUUCACAUUUCUCUCCACACACUGUAGACUGUGUGGCAACUCUUUUCCUUUCCUCCCCUCAGGCCUUAUUUAAGGCUGUCGACUGUCAUCCUGUCUUACAUACAUCCCUCCACCCUUCUCUCCCUCCAUCUCUCCAUCCUCCAUCCUUCUCUCGCUCCAUCCCUCCAUCCUUCUCUCCAUCCCUCCACCCCUCCAUGCCUCCACCCUUCUCUCCCUCCAUGCCUCCACCCUUCUCUCCCUCCAUGCCUCCACCCUUCUGUCCUGCCAUCCCUCCACCCCAUCCCUCCAUCCCUCCACCCCUCAUCCCUCUGCCCUUCUCCCCCCUUUAAGAGUUUCUCUCUGAGCCCCAAGCCACUUAAGAAAGAGAGAGUUAGAGAGAGAGGGAUACUGUAGGAUCCAUCCCAAAUGACACCCUUCUCCCUAUAUAGACCAGGGUCCAUAUGACUCUAGUCUAAAGUAGUGCCCUACAUAGGGAAUAGGGUGCCAUUUGGGGCUCAGAGUUUGUUGACACUGAAUGUAGAAAUGACUGAUUGCCUUGUCAAAGAGAAUAAUACUGUGCUACAUCAGGAUGUAAUCCUGUUUAUUAUCUGGAGAAAUAAUAUCAACUGUAUCACUGUAAAUUCAAUAAAUACAGCAUUUUGGCUAAAAUAUCGGCCUUGUCUUGGUUGAUUGGUUGAUUGGUGAUUGGUUGGUUGGUGAUUAGUUGGUUGGUGAUUGGUUGGUUGGUUGGUGAUUGGUUGGUUGGUGAUUGGGUGGUUGGUUGGUGAUUGGUGAUUGGUUGGUUGGUGAUUGGGUGGUUGAUGGUUGGUUGGUGAUUGGUUGGUUUUUAUUUGAUAAUUAAAAUAUGAAGCAGCUCCAGAUGUAGACAACAUUAAAAUAAAAAUGGAGGAUAAAACACACAGACUGAAUUUAUUUCUGGUUUUCUGGUUCUGUGUCCUUUCCUGGAAACCACCAUCUUUUCAAGAAGCAGUGCCAGUAGAUUGUGAAACCGUGUAACAUUUCCAGAAAACGAGUAGAUGAAGUAAUAUUUUAUACGGUAGCUGUUCUUGUGCAAUAUUGUUUGGUGUGUAAAACUAACCGUUUUAUAAUGCGUAGUACUAGACCCGUCCCAAAUGGAACCCUAUUCCUUAUGUAGUGCACUACGUUUGACCAUGUGGAUCCUGGUAGUGCACUUCAAAAUUAGUGCACUUUAUCGUGAACACUUUAUCCCAAACAGGUUGUCAUUUGGGACGUAGUGGUGUGUGUGUGUGUGAUAUUGUGUUUGGCCCAAUAUAUUGAGGAAGUCCCACAUGUGACAAUACAACUGGGGUAGUCUGGGGUUAUGUUGAAAAUCUGGAGCAACUUUGCAAAAACAGGUCGUCACAAGUUGCGUCAUGACAUUUGUUCAUAUAAUGUAAAACAACAAGUAUUAACAGACUGGAAUGUAGCGAUAGUAGGGAAUUCCCAGUAGAAUUCCAUGAUCAUUUCAUCAUUCAGUAACACGUCAGACCAAGGGGUCUGGACUUUUAUGUCACGGGAGGUAGAGCACCGAUUAACCACCGUGUGUGUCAGCCCCAUCUUUCCUUUCAUCGAUCGGCAGGAAUGAAGACUCACUCAAUCUCUCACACACACACACACACACACACACACACACACACACACACACACACACACACACACACAUUACUACUACUACUACUACUACUACUACUACUACUACUUACUGUAGCCUUGGUAACUGACAGUUUUUGGGUGAAAUUUUACCUUUAAACAAUCUUUUGGUUUUUUGUCAUUAGUCCAUUAUUUAUUAGGGUGUACCGGUACAGAGUCAGUGUGGAGGCUAUAUACAGGGGGUACCGGUACCGAGUCAGUGUGGAGGCUAUAUACAGGGGGUACCAGUACCGAGUCAGUGUGGAGGUUAUAUACAGGGUGUUACGGUACAGAGUCAGUGUGGAGGCUAUAUACAGGGGGUACCGGUACCGAGUCAGUGUGGAGACUAUAUACAGGGGGUACCGGUACCGAGUCAGUGUGGAGGCUAUAUACAGGGGGUACCGGUACCGAGUCAGUGUGGAGACUAUAUACAGGGGGUACCGGUACCGAGUCAAUGUGGAGGCUAUAUACAGGGGGUACCGGUACAGAGUCAGUGUGGAGGCUAUAUACAGGGGGUACCAGUACAGAGUCAAUGUGGAGGCUAUAUACAGGGGGUACCGGUACAGAGUCAGUGUGGAGGCUAUAUACAGGGGGUACCGGUACAGAGUCAGUGUGGAGACUAUAUACAGGGGGCACCAGUACAGAGUCAAUGUGGAGGCUAUAUACAGGGGGCACCAGUACAGAGUCAAUGUGGAGGCUAUAUACAGGGGGCACCAGUACAGAGUCAAUGUGGAGACUAUAUACAGGGGGUACCGGUGCCGAGUCAGUGUGGAGACUAUAUACAGGGGGUACCGGUACAGAGUCAGUGUGGAGGCUAUAUACAGGGGGUACCAGUACAGAGUCAGUGUAGAGGCUAUAUACAGGGGGUACCAGUACCGAGUCAGUGUGGAGGUUAUAUACAGGGUGUUACGGUACAGAGUCAGUGUGGAGGCUAUAUACAGGGGGUACCGGUACCGAGUCAGUGUGGAGGCUAUAUACAGGGGGUACCAGUACCGAGUCAGUGUGGGGGCUAUAUACAGGGGUACCGGUACCGAGUCAAUGUGUGGGGCUACAGGUUAGUGGAGGUAAUCUGUACAUGAAGGUGGGGGUGAAGUGACUAUGAUUAGG